GAUGAACGCUGGCGGCGUGCCUAAUACAUGCAAGUCGAGCGAACAGAUGAGGAGCUUGCUCCUCUGACGUUAGCGGCGGACGGGUGAGUAACACGUGGAUAACCUACCUAUAAGACUGGGAUAACUUCGGGAAACCGGAGCUAAUACCGGAUAAUAUAUUGAACCGCAUGGUUCAAUAGUGAAAGACGGUUUUGCUGUCACUUAUAGAUGGAUCCGCGCCGCAUUAGCUAGUUGGUAAGGUAACGGCUUACCAAGGCAACGAUGCGUAGCCGACCUGAGAGGGUGAUCGGCCACACUGGAACUGAGACACGGUCCAGACUCCUACGGGAGGCAGCAGUAAGGAAUCUUCCGCAAUGGGCGAAAGCUUGACGGAGCAACGCCGCGUGAGUGAUGAAGGUCUUCGGAUCGUAAAACUCUGUUAUUAGGGAAGAACAAAUGUGUAAGUAACUAUGCACGUCUUGACGGUACCUAAUCAGAAAGCCACGGCUAACUACGUG
Molecule: ribosomal RNA, 497 nt
Filed under: uncultured bacterium
Lineage: Bacteria
Description: partial 16S ribosomal RNA
Rfam family: Bacterial small subunit ribosomal RNA
Source: RNAcentral